This 564-nucleotide long non-coding RNA is filed under the name Brachypodium distachyon (stiff brome). RNAcentral's name for it is "long non-coding RNA (BDIS_LNC002556)". Lineage: Eukaryota; Viridiplantae; Streptophyta; Magnoliopsida; Poales; Poaceae. The record is from RNAcentral.
GCUCGGCAAUGGGAGUAGCCACUGAGGAGGCGGUUGGAGGAGCAUGGAGGCGCUGGCCUUGAUCUGAGGAGGCGGCUGCUUGAGUCGAGGUGGCGAUCUCGACCUUUGGAGACACGGGCGGCUCGAUUCCUGGAGGUCGGGCCGCGUAGAGUGAACCGGCAGCGCCGAUUGGUGAUUCCAGGAGGCGGUUGUGACGAUUCCCAUGGAGGCGGCAGCGGCACUUCAAACUCUGGAGGCACAGUUCAUCAAGGCGGCGGCUUUGAUAGGUGAUGAGACGAAUUGAUCUCCAGAGAGGGGUCGGGGAAAGCCGGAUCCGGCCGCGACAGGGUCGGAGGAGCCCAGUCCCGGUGACGUCGAGGCUAGGGGAGGCCGGAUCCGGUGACGCGAAGUCGUCGCCAUGCGCUUUUCCUCAAGGGGGACGAGGUGGUGGCGACUGGAACCGGAGGAGGAGGCCAGGACGGCGGAGCUCUCCUCAGGCGCCCAUCCUCGGCGGCGGGACUGCGUCCCAUGGCGGCGUCCGCGGGGACCGGCCGUGCUCCAUCCCAUGGCGAUGGCGGCGUGGAC